Molecule: unclassified non-coding RNA, 363 nt
Filed under: uncultured bacterium
Lineage: Bacteria
Description: contains 16S-23S intergenic spacer region
Source: RNAcentral
UCCCCCGUGAGGGGGCAGUCUCGCCUGACAUAUAUAACAGACAACGAGGGUUGCGUUCGUUACCCCACUGAAGGGAACAGCUCAAGCCACGAACUGACGACAACCAUGCAUCACCUGCCCAACACCCUCGAAGGCUUCCUCCGUUUCUGGAGGCGUGCAGUUGGGUUUCUAGCCUGGGUAAGGUUCUUCGCUUACCGACGAAUUAAGCCACAUGAUCCACUGCUUGUGCGAGUCCCCGUCUAUUCCUUUGAGUUUUAAGCUUGCGCUCGUACUACCCAGGCGGCUCGCUUACCGCGUUAGCUUAGUCCCGCAGAGGGUCGAUACUCCGCAGAACGAGCGAGCAACGUUUAGGGCUAGGACUAC